AGAGCGAACGCUGGCGGCAGGCUUAACACAUGCAAGUCGAGCGGGCGUAGCAAUACGUCAGCGGCAGACGGGUGAGUAACGCGUGGGAACGUACCUUUUGGUUCGGAACAACACAGGGAAACUUGUGCUAAUACCGGAUAAGCCCUUACGGGGAAAGAUUUAUCGCCGAAAGAUCGGCCCGCGUCUGAUUAGCUAGUUGGUGAGGUAACGGCUCACCAAGGCGACGAUCAGUAGCUGGUCUGAGAGGAUGAUCAGCCACAUUGGGACUGAGACACGGCCCAAACUCCUACGGGAGGCAGCAGUGGGGAAUAUUGGACAAUGGGCGCAAGCCUGAUCCAGCCAUGCCGCGUGAGUGAUGAAGGCCCUAGGGUUGUAAAGCUCUUUUGUGCGGGAAGAUAAUGACGGUACCGCAAGAAUAAGCCCCGGACUAACUUCGUGCCAGCAGCCGC
This 449-nucleotide ribosomal RNA is filed under the name uncultured bacterium. Its description in RNAcentral is "SSU rRNA". It matches the Rfam family "Bacterial small subunit ribosomal RNA", at positions 26 to 518 of the family's 1533-position model. The record is from RNAcentral.